GGAACCACCUGAUCCCAUCCCGAACUCAGCAGUGAAACGAUGCAUCGCCGAUGGUAGUGUGGGGUUUCCCCAUGUGAGAGUAGGUCAUCGUCAAGAUU
RNAcentral lists this ribosomal RNA (98 nucleotides) under Pseudomonas lundensis. The record is from RNAcentral. Lineage: Bacteria; Pseudomonadati; Pseudomonadota; Gammaproteobacteria; Pseudomonadales; Pseudomonadaceae.